AACCAACGCUGGCGGCGUGCCUAAUACAUGCAAGUCGAACGGGGAAAGCUUUCGGGUGAGUACUAGUGGCGCACGGGUGAGGAACGCGUGGAUAAUCUGCCUUAGAGUGGGGGAUAACUAGUCGAAAGAUUAGCUAAUACCGCAUAAGACCACGAGAGCUGCGGCUUUUGAGGUCAAAGGUUUUUCGCUCUAAGAUGAGUCCGCGUAAGAUUAGCUAGUUGGUGAGGUAACGGCUCACCAAGGCGACGAUCUUUAACUGGUCUGAGAGGAUGAUCAGUCAAACUGGAACUGAGACACGGUCCAGACUCCUACGGGAGGCAGCAGUAGGGAAUAUUGCACAAUGGAGGAAACUCUGAUGCAGCGACGCCGCGUGGGUGAUGAAGGCCUUCGGGUCGUAAAGCUCUGUCGCAGGGGAAUAACACAAUGAAGGUACCCUGUAAGAAAGGAUCGGCUAACUUCGUG
This 462-nucleotide ribosomal RNA is filed under the name uncultured bacterium. RNAcentral's name for it is "partial 16S ribosomal RNA". It matches the Rfam family "Bacterial small subunit ribosomal RNA", at positions 32 to 507 of the family's 1533-position model. The record is from RNAcentral.